Long non-coding RNA from Rattus rattus (black rat), 904 nucleotides. RefSeq lists it as uncharacterized. The transcript is spliced from 2 exons. NCBI's taxonomy places the organism in Eukaryota, Metazoa, Chordata, Mammalia, Rodentia, Muridae. The record is from RefSeq and is a predicted model, not a curated record.
AGAUCUGUGCAUUUCUUUGUGUGUGACUUACAGGUGGACUUAAAGGAACAGUUGGAGGGUGGGAGAGGGCUCAGACUAGAGUGCUGCUGUGCCUGUGUGAGGGCCUGAGUCCUGAGCUCCAGAAUCCAUGUGCAACCUGGUGGGGGGGGGUGUAACCAUGGCGAUGGGGAGGCAGAGGCUGGUGGGUCCUGGAGACUGGCUGGCCAUUCUUUGUGUUGGAAAUUGGAACUCCAUGUUCACAGAGACACCCUCUCUCAAAGAGACCGAAGAAGACACCUCUGGCCUUUACAUGCACAGCCUGGCCUGUCCCUGGGUCAGCUGUAGUCCAGCCUGUCCUCUGGGGAGCUGAGAGGAUGCUCACCGGCUCAACUCCAGCUUUUAGCCUUUGAGGUCCCAACCUCAAGGCCUGAGAGCAGAUAGUGUGGAGACCAGAGGGUGAGCUGAACUCUGCUGGAUGAAAACAUCUCGUGGGGGACUGGGAUCUCCUGACAAGCACUGGCCUCUUCUCCUACCUGGAUGCUUCCGCUGAGCACAAAGGGAUCCUGGCCAUCUCCUGUGUGGACCAGCUGGGUCCCCUACAGUCUGUGGGCUCAGAGCAGCCUUUCAGUCUCCCCUUGAAGCAGGGAGCCAGAGAGCUGGUCUCUGGCCACAGUGGCUGUUCGAAGCUCACACACCAUGGGGCUGACCUGCAGAUGCCCCCUGACCGACCCUGUAUCCCUUGGGCAGGUCACAGACCCUAAAACAGGAGGAGGACCCCUCCACCCUCCCCACACCACCCCCGUACACAAUGACCCCACAAUGUUGAGUCUAAACAGGAGGAAACUUUGGCCUCUGUCACUAUUUUUCUUUAUGUUUUUAAUUAAAUUUCUGGGGUCACUGACACCCUGGAGCAAGAGAACUACAA